Molecule: ribosomal RNA, 532 nt
Filed under: uncultured Alteromonadales bacterium
Lineage: Bacteria; Pseudomonadati; Pseudomonadota; Gammaproteobacteria; Alteromonadales
Description: bacterial SSU rRNA
Rfam family: Bacterial small subunit ribosomal RNA
Source: RNAcentral
AACACAUGCAAGUCGAACGGCAGCGCGGGGAGCUUGCUCCCUGGCGGCGAGUGGCGAACGGGUGAGUAAUGCUUGGGAAUCUGCCCUGUAGUGGGGGACAACCCGGGGAAACUCGGGCUAAUACCGCAUACGUCCUACGGGAGAAAGCGGGGGAUCUUCGGACCUCGCGCUACAGGAUGAGCCCAAGUCGGAUUAGCUAGUUGGUGGGGUAAAGGCCCACCAAGGCGACGAUCCGUAGCUGGUCUGAGAGGACGAUCAGCCACACUGGGACUGAGACACGGCCCAGACUCCUACGGGAGGCAGCAGUGGGGAAUAUUGGACAAUGGGGGCAACCCUGAUCCAGCAAUGCCGCGUGUGUGAAGAAGGCCUGCGGGUUGUAAAGCACUUUCAGUAGAGAAGAAAAGCAUAGGGCUAAUACCUCUGUGUCUUGACGUUACCUACAGAAGAAGCACCGGCUAAUUCCGUGCCAGCAGCCGCGGUAAUACGGAAGGUGCAAGCGUUAAUCGGAAUUACUGGGCGUAAAGCGCGCGUA